This 448-nucleotide ribosomal RNA is filed under the name uncultured bacterium. RNAcentral's name for it is "bacterial SSU rRNA". It matches the Rfam family "Bacterial small subunit ribosomal RNA", at positions 32 to 511 of the family's 1533-position model. The record is from RNAcentral.
AAUCAACGCUGGCGGCGCGCCUAACACAUGCAAGUCGAACGAGAAAGUGGAGCAAUCCAUGAGUAAAGUGGCGUACGGGUGAGUAACACGUGGAUAACCUGCCCUUUAGUGGGGAAUACCGUUGGGAAACCGACGACAAUACCGCAUAAGCUCGAGAGAGGAAAGCAGCAAUGCGCUGAAGGAGGGGUCCGCGGUCGAUUAGCUGGUUGGUGAGGUAAUGGCUCACCAAGGCUGUGAUCGAUAGCCGGCCUGAGAGGGCACACGGCCACACUGGCACUGAAACACGGGCCAGACUCCUACGGGAGGCAGCAGUGGGGAAUCUUGCACAAUGGGGGAACCCUGAUGCAGCGACGCCGCGUGAGCGAUGAAGCCCUUCGGGGUGUAAAGCUCUUUUGUGCGGGAAGAUAAUGACGUACCGCAAGAAUAAGCCCGGCUAACUUCGUGCCAG